AGCAGAUGGUCACCCCUACGAGACUGGUCUGCUUGAGGUUUCUUCCUCAGAUCAUCAGAGGGAGUUUUUUCUUACCACUGUUGCCUGUGUGCUUUUCUGGGGGUUAGUAAGGUUCGAACUUACUUGUGCAAAGCGCGUUGGGGCACCUUUGUUGUGAUCUGGCGCUAUAAAUAAAUCAAAUUGAAAUU
Molecule: long non-coding RNA, 188 nt
Organism: Thalassophryne amazonica
Lineage: Eukaryota; Metazoa; Chordata; Actinopteri; Batrachoidiformes; Batrachoididae
Exons: 2
Source: RefSeq, a predicted model, not a curated record